AGCGGCAGACGGGAGAGUAACACGUGGGAACGUACCCUUUGGUUCGGAACAACCCAGGGAAACUUGGGCUAAUACCGGAUAAGCCCUUACGGGGAAAGAUUCAUCGCCGAAGGAUCGGCCCGCGUCUGAUUAGCUAGUUGGUGGGGUAAUGGCCCACCAAGGCGACGAUCAGUAGCUGGUCUGAGAGGAUGAUCAGCCUCACUGGGACUGAGACACGGCCCAGACUCCUACGGGAGGCAGCAGUGGG
This 247-nucleotide ribosomal RNA is filed under the name uncultured Hyphomicrobiales bacterium. RNAcentral describes it as "uncultured Rhizobiales bacterium partial 16S ribosomal RNA". It matches the Rfam family "Bacterial small subunit ribosomal RNA", at positions 94 to 358 of the family's 1533-position model. The record is from RNAcentral. Lineage: Bacteria; Pseudomonadati; Pseudomonadota; Alphaproteobacteria; Hyphomicrobiales.